Molecule: long non-coding RNA, 526 nt
Filed under: Brassica napus (rape)
Lineage: Eukaryota; Viridiplantae; Streptophyta; Magnoliopsida; Brassicales; Brassicaceae
Description: long non-coding RNA (BNAP_LNC002687)
Source: RNAcentral
ACCUUAUUGUCUUCGGAUUAAAAUGUUUUCAUUCAGUUUACUUACCAUCGUCCUCACAAGGAAGUCUUUAUCAUGUUAAUACUUUAAUUUUUUUCACUCAGAAAAUCAUGUCCUUUUUCGGUUUGUAUAGAAUAAAGUAUUGACCUAUCAUAAGAAAUAAAAACCGGUUUGUCAAAGUACAUAUUGAAACAAAAUGUGAAUCCGAUUUAUAGAUACAUGCAAUCAAGGACAUUCGAAAUAUAAUUCCUAUUUUUAGGUAUGCAAUUAACAAAGUGUAAAUCAUAUACGAAUAUUCCUAUUAACAACCUUUAAUCAAUAUUUUUUUCAUAGUAUCUUUUAUGCAAUUCUCCAUUAUUUUGAAUUCCUUUUUGGAUAAAAUUUCCUAUAUACACAAUUUAAUUGCACAUACUAGGAAUAUGCAACCAUAUGUGCGUGAUUAAAGGCCUUAUGAUAUGUUAUAUAUUAUUUUUAUUUUUAGAUUUUAAGAAAAUUAAAGUAUGUAUGAAUUUUAAACUUUAAAAAAAUA